GGAAAAGAAACCAACAGGGAUUGCCCUAGUAACGGCGAGUGAAGCGGCAACAGCUCAAAUUUGAAAUCUGGCCUCGGCCCGAGUUGUAAUUUGCAGAGGAUGCUUUUGGCGAGGCGCCUUCCGAGUUCCCUGGAACGGGACGCCAUAGAGGGUGAGAGCCCCGUACGGUUGGACGCCGAGCCUCUGUAAAGCUCCUUCGACGAGUCGAGUAGUUUGGGAAUGCUGCUCAAAAUGGGAGGUAAAUUUCUUCUAAAGCUAAAUACCGGCCAAAGACCGAUAGCGCACAAGUAGAGUGAUCGAAAGAUGAAAAGCACUUUGAAAAGAGGGUUAAACAGCACGUGAAAUUGUUGAAAGGGAAGCGCUCGUGACCAGACUUGCGCCCUACGGAUCAGCCGGCGUUCUCGCCGGUGCCCUCUGUAGGGUCCAGGCCAGCAUCGGUCUCCGCGGGGGGAUAAAGGCUUAGGGAACGUGGCUCCCCCGGGAGUGUUAUAGCCCUCUGCAGAAUACCGCCGCGGGGACCGAGGACCGCGCUUCGGCAAGGAUGCUGGCGUAAUGGUCACCAGCGACCCGUCUUGAAACACGGACCAAGGAGUCAAGCAUUAGGGCGAGUGUCUGGGUGUAAAACCCGCACGCGAAAUGAAAGUGAACGUUGGUGAGAGCUUCGGCGCAUCAUCGACCGAUCCAGAUGUUCUCGGAUGGAUUUGAGUAAGAGCCUUACCGCUUGGACCCGAAAGUUGAUGAACUAUGCCUGUAUAGGGUGAAGCCAGAGGAAACUCUGGUGGAGGCUCGCAGCGGUUCUGACGUGCAAAUCGAUCGUCAAAUAUGGGCAUGGGGGCGAAAG
Molecule: ribosomal RNA, 841 nt
Filed under: Linkosia multiseptum
Lineage: Eukaryota; Fungi; Ascomycota
Description: eukaryotic LSU rRNA
Rfam family: Eukaryotic large subunit ribosomal RNA
Source: RNAcentral